CGACAUUGCAUUCCUUAACAACAUUUUCCACAGCACAAUUAGAUCCUUCAACCCCUUCUGAGAGUCCUGUUGGUCUACUGAAAGGCAACAGUGCUGCACUCGUGUCAAUGAUAACUAAUCUGACAGUAGUGGUGAUGGCCACAAUAACAUGUGUGAUUCUUUAUUUCAAAACCCGAAGCAACAAAAUCAACAGCCAGAUUGAACUGAACUGCAAGUCAUUUGUCUGUUAUUCAGAAAUGUCAGGAGGGUUUGAUAUCCCGCUAUGUGAUAAGCCUAACUGAACAGCAUAUACUCAACAAAUAUUCAUGAACCUGAACAAUAUUAAAAUAAGCAAGCAAGCUAACAUCCAUGACAAUAGAAUGCAGUAAAAUAAUUGAAACCACUGUAUUUAAUGCUUGUAUUUUUUUUUCUAAUGAGUUCAUAAACAUGUUUUGCUUAAAGUUUAUUUGAGAUAAGCAAUUCUUGUAAUUUUAGAGACUGGACCUGUCCCAGUAUUCACACUUGUGGUCUUUGCAUUUAGCUUGGCUUCUUGUAUACUGUAUAUCUUAUAUUUGGCCCAAUUGAUCAAGUAAUUUUGAAUACUGCAAGUACAUAUACAAUUUUUGCUAAACAUGUAGUUUCAAAUAAAAAGUUAU
Danio rerio (zebrafish) is the source of this 635-nucleotide non-coding RNA. NCBI's taxonomy places the organism in Eukaryota, Metazoa, Chordata, Actinopteri, Cypriniformes, Danionidae. The record is from RefSeq and is a predicted model, not a curated record.